This 254-nucleotide ribosomal RNA is filed under the name uncultured bacterium. RNAcentral's name for it is "partial 16S ribosomal RNA". It matches the Rfam family "Bacterial small subunit ribosomal RNA", at positions 524 to 776 of the family's 1533-position model. The record is from RNAcentral.
UACGGAGGGUGCAAGCCUUAAUCGGAUUUAUUGGGCGUAAAGAGCGCGUAGGCGGACAAAGAAGUCAGAUGUGAAAUCCCGGGGCUCACCCCCGGAACUGCAUUUGAAACUCUUUAGUCUAGAGGAUAGGCGGAGGAAACGGAAUUCCAGAAGUAGCGGUGAAAUGCGUAGAUAUGUGGAAGAACAUCGGUGGCGAAGGCGGUUUUCUAGCUUAUUCCUGACGCUGAGGCGAGAAAGCAAGGGGAGCAAACAGG